GACGAACGCUGGCGGCGUGCUUAACACAUGCAAGUCGAACGGCAAGGCCCUGCUUUUGUGGGGUGCCCGGGUGCGGAAGGGGGGAGUAACACGAAAGUAACCUGCCCUUCACUUUGGGGUAAGUUCAGGAAACUGGGCCUACUACAGGACAGGAGCUCCUCUUCCAUGGUGGGGGUUGGAACGUUUCGGCGUUUGUGGAUGGACUCGCGGCUUAUCAGCUUGUUGGUGGGGUAGUGGCUUACCAAGGCUUUGACGGGUAGCCGGCCUGGGAGGGUGACCGGCCACAUUGGGCCUACGAGACGGCCCAGACUCCUACGGGAGGCAGCAGUCGGGAAUAUGGCACAAUGGGCGGAAGCCUGAGGCGGCAACCCUGCGGUCGGGAUGACGGCUUUCGGGGUGAAAACCGCUUUCGCCUGUGACGAAGCGUGAGUGACGGUAAUGGAUAAAGAAGCACCGGCUAACUACGUG
Molecule: ribosomal RNA, 468 nt
Filed under: uncultured bacterium
Lineage: Bacteria
Description: partial 16S ribosomal RNA
Rfam family: Bacterial small subunit ribosomal RNA
Source: RNAcentral